UUAAUAAUAAUAAUUAAAAUGUAAUUGUCAUUUCACUUGUUGCAUUUUACAUAAUUUAUAUACUUUAUGUUUUAUUAAAAGAAUUAUAAAUUGCACCAGCUAAAACAACGACGCUGCUGAAUGAUUAACAAGGACAGAAUUUUUUGUACUAAAACGCGGAUAAUAUCUCAGGACCAAUUAGCGAACACGUUGUCCUUUUGUGUCGUCAGAAGGGUGCACGUGAUUUCACGGGUCUUCGUCGUAGCGAAAGGCGACCGCGCAUCUGCAGGACGGAGGGAAGAGCGUAAAAUUUAAAUAAAUGUCCGCCGGAUACGGCGAAUUAAGUGACAUGCUAAUCACGUCACUGGCAAUACACGCGCGAAUGAAUAAUCGGUUACUUUCUUUCUGCAUGCCGUCUCGCCGGGAAAAACCUGUUUUCGAAACGCACCUUGCGCGAUCGAUAAACAGCAUCGAUUGCGGCGAAUUAUUGUACAAACAUUUAAUUCAUUAUAAAAAUGAUGCAAGAUAAAUCAUACGCCUCUUAUUGUACAAUCAUUUAAAAUAACUUGGAAAUAAUUUAAAAUUACGCCGGAGCAUUAUUUAAUUAUUAAAUAUUAAUAAUAUAGAGAUAAAUAUUAUAAUCCCAACAAUAAUACUUAAUAAUAAUUAAUAAUUAAUUAACAUAAGUGUACUAUGUAAGAGCAUAUAUUUAUUUUACUAUCUGUUCAAAUAUAAAUAUUUAAAAAAGUAAUAUUAUCUAUCUUACAUUUUAUUAUUAGCCUCAAUUUCAAUCUUUUGUACGCGUACAAAGUCAUCGUUAUUUUUAUAUGUAGUUCCUAAAAAUUAUAUAACUUUUUCACAGAUCAUUCAGACGAAUCCAUCUGUACUGAUUCUGUCGCAAGAGUGAACGCAAUUGCGUGUCACGCACUCGGGGCGCAAUCGCGCGGAAACUUCGGACGCUCUCGCCGAGUUUGCCGAGGUGGUCGAAUUCUUUCCCGCGAUGACACGCCCGUAAUGUGUCACCUGGUCGUGUUCGACAACGAAAAAGGGUUGAGCAGUCGAUCGGAAGAAUUUGCCCCUACUGCGAACGCUCGCCCUCCCAAUCGAGUUCAUCGAGACGAAGAAUCGGCCGGUUUUCGCGCGGGGCGUGACCGAUCACGAUUUUCGAACGGGAACGAAAGUUUCGUUCCGCGGACCGAAUCGCGGACUCUCUCUCUCAAACUCAGAUCAUUCAGACGAAAACAUAUCGAAGUCAGAACGAGAAAAACAAUUUACAACAAGAAGAAUAAUAAUUUGCGUAGCAGCGAGCAAAUAAGUUUAGAAAAUUUGUGGUAGAAGUUUAUCGCAAAAAAUAAAUAAAAUUUCCUAAGACAACUUAGUUUGUACUAUAACUCGGUGUGUGCCUGAUUGAUCAUAUUUAAAAAGAAGUCAAAUGUAUCAGUAACUUAGUGCUAAUUAGGGCCACCAUAUGGCGCAUCGAAAAAGAAGAAAUGCUAAGCGUACGCCCUGGUCCUGAGCGAAGCACCUGCGAGCCGGACGGAAUAAUUCAUGGAAAUAGAGGCUCGACAAUUAGGUAAUAAAUAGUCGGAACACCCAGAGCCAGCCACCCCGUGCGCCUAACCCUCCCUCCCUUCCUCCCUCGCGUUUCGCUACGUCGUGCUCGUUGAAAUCGACAGAGGAGUGAAUUAAUAAAACGACCCCCCCCGGGGUUGCGUACGUGCAACGUCCGCGUAAAUGUGCGCGCGCGCCUCGCCGCGCAGAUGUGCCCCGCCGUACGCGCGCGCACGCCGUAAGGGCGCGUUUCUUUUAUUUUAUUGCCGGGGGUUAAUGGAAUAGUUUGCAUGCCCUGAACAAUCAGCGGGCAGGGAUAUAUUGCAUUCCUUCUCGACGAGGACCACCGUCGAUGGAAGGCUUGGUGAUGAUGUUGGAGAUAAUGUUGAUAAAAUGUACCGUUUUCUUAUUGUUAGUCCCUUAAGUAUUUAUAGUUAAUUUGCGUUUCCUAGAAAGUCAGAACGCUUUUAUACCGUAUUGUUCAUUAAUAUGUAUAUCUUAAGUUUGUUAAUAAUAAAAGCGUGCAAUUUUUUAUCCUCGUGAUAAGAUUUAAAAAAUAGCUUUUUUAUUUUUGUAUAUAAGUUUUAGAUUUUCUAUUGUUGAUUAAUAAAUUUUUCAGAUUUUAUUACCAGUACAUGUUGUUAAUUAAAUUUCGUUUUUCUAUCCUUUGUCACGCAAUAGAUUUUAUUAAAUAUCAUUAAGUUUGUCUUUUAUUAUAAAGCAACCGAGUAAUAAUUGUUUUUCCUAUUACGUUCAAAUUUUCCGUCAAAUAGGAGCAAAUGGGAAGUGUCCGCGGGGAAAAAAAUCGGAUUUGCUCGACGCGACCGUGUUCAUUAAACAUAAUGCAGUGUCGGCACAAUGCGCGACGACAGCUUUUUCUCUACAAUCCGAGGCCUACGUCGGGGAGUAGUACAGAAACGACACAAUGCACCGGGUAAAAAAAAAAGAGGUCUCGUCACCUACCAGCACGCCGCGUGAGAUCGCAGAUUCGAAAAAUCUGGGCUGCCAUUAAUCGUUCCUUCGUCCUAGCGACGCGACGCCCUUCGUUGUUGCGCGAUGACACGCGUAAAUCUGUCGCUUAAACGACUUCUUUAACCCGAGUAUGCGUUCGUGCGAUCUCACACUAAAUCGACAUCGAUGCACCCUCGUGCAUAAUGAUAUCGAUGCAUCAGUGUCGUUUAAUUUGCUUCUUCAAAAAAGUUUUAAUAAAACAAAAAAAAAGGGAAUACAUAAAUUCUUUAUAGAAAACUACAGCUGUACACAAAGAAAACUUUAUAAUAAAAGUUGCUUUGGGAAGCAUAGAUUAAGGAAGAAUUAUAAAAAUUUUUACUAUGUUUUUUUAUUAAAUUGUGCCGUACUAUAUGUAUUUGUAUUAUUAUGUAUUUAUAUUAUUAUAUAUUUAUAUUAAUGUUAUUAGUAACAGACAAGUACAAUUAUUACUAUGCUGAAACUGCCAUUUUAUUAACUUCGCUUUUUAAUUCGUUCAAAUCUUGCGGAUCAAGUCGUGCUACACUUGAGGACGUGACCCCUCGAUAUCCUUAUUAGAAGGAUACGCGUCGACCUGAGACCCGGAUUCUCCCGCCGCGGGCUCCGCGCCGUGGGGUUCGCAUAAGUGCGUGCGCUCGGCAAAUCGCACCAUCAAGCGGAGACGACGCAUUGAGCGGAGGCGGUCGUCUGUGAAACGCAUUUAGCUUGUUGGUACACAGAACACGGACGGGAAGAGAGUGCCAGGGUAUCCCCGCGCGAUACACGUAUUGUACGGGCGCACCGACGAUGCGACGUGUGCAAGUGCGUGUCACGAUUCGUUGAGAAUCCGUCCGUCAUUUUUGGAAAUCGCUCUCCCGAGAGAAACCGAGAGUCAACGAGAAGCCAGCGUAAAUUUAUGUUGCAACGAAUGGAAUGCGAGAUGCGAGAGAUAAAUGAGAGUAGCUGUAAAAUAGCCACAAAAAAUGUAGACGUUAUGACGUGACGAUUAAAUAAUGAAUUAAAUAACGAAUCAAAUUGAAAGACAGAUGACAUUUGUACAAAGUGAGAGGCAAAUAUCAGAUAAUAUCGAUUAAAAAAUUUACCCUCUUGAUAAGUUUGUUUCACAAAUAAAGAAAGAAAAGUUGAAAGUCUAUUCUUUAAUGUUUCCCUGUCCGUGUCCCUUUCUAUUCCAAUGGAAAGAAAGGAUCGUACGCGUAAUCUGGCACCUGCGUUUUGUGUCAUUAGACGAUUACGGAUGUAUGUUUCAUACGCGCCCUCCACGUGGAGGGUACAAUCCCCCGCCCCCCCUGACCUUUCUUCCUCUUUUUCUGUCUGUCGGUCUCUCUGCUUCUCUCUCUCUCGCUCUUUUUCUAUCUGCUCUAUUGCCGGCAAAGAGAUCAAAUUCCACUUGAAGUCCCCCAUGAGCUCUUCUCGAAGGCGAUCCUUCAGGAUCCGACAAUGAGACUGGAGUCGUAGAGUGGAGAGAAAACAGAAUCGACAGCAGAUGCGAGCCUCUAUUCUCGACUUGUUCUGUCAAAACACGGACGACGUUUAUAGGUAGCGUAGCGUGGCAAACGGUGCGCGCGAGAGCACGAAGAAUAAAAAGAAAGGCAGAAGUGCGUUUUCCUCUUCGUGCUCGGAAACUUAAUUUAUCGAGCAACGCGUGCCUCUCAUCGCUGCGCGAGAAAUUAGAGUCUUCCGUGUGGUAAACGGAACAAUGGUAAAUCGUUUUUGCAUUGUGUCAAAGUUUGACUUUAUAAUUCCCACAUUUUGUCACAUCCAAUAUUCUCACAAAUAAAAAUUUUAAGUUAUUUGAAUCUUUCAAUUCGCGACUUUUUUUAACCUUUUUUUAAUUUUCCAAAUUUAGUCUCAACAUUUUAAGUUAUAUUAUUUUUAAUCUACAAGUUUACUUAAAAAGUUGCUUCACAUAUUUAGUUGGACUAUUUUUUUGGUCUUAAUAUUUUUUUUACGUACACAAAUUGCGCAAAAAGGAAGAUGGUCUUUAAUUGCGAUUCCUUUCCUGGGUCAUGUGUGAUGUUAGGAGACGUGUCUUUCAAAGCGACGAUGACACAUACGAUUAUCACAGUUCGAUGAACGGGCCGAUCGGUAUCGCCAUAAAUUAUCGGAUCGAAAAACGCGUCUCCGUGCCCUCCCCAUUAUGCAAAAUCACAACAACGACGGGGUCGCUUCGUCCACUUGAAAGUUCGGUCGGGCUCCUCUCGUCGUCAGGCCCUGAAGAGGUCCCGACGAAGGGCGAGAGAGAGUCAUCAAUUACGAUUGGGAAUAAAUCGAAGGCAGAUGCGGCGAUCGCCCGUAGGGCCCGUCGCGGCGGGUGACCAGUUUCUCAACCCCCCCCCGCGGACAAUACGUCUGUUUUCGGCAAGUAUAAAGCGAUACACGAGCCCAAAUACCGAGUGUCACCCUCCGACGCGCGAAUUUCGGAAUUCGUUCCCGUUUCAUUGCGACUGCCUUCAACACGAUGACUUCUUUCGAAGUGACAAUAAUUCCUCUUUCUCUCUUUCUUUCUCAAGGCGAUGCGACAUGGUAAUUUCUCUCAGAGCGUUUGAAGAGAAGUAAUAUUAUUAUAAAUAAUUUCAAAUUAUUUUAAAAGCUUAUAAAACAUAAUUUAAAAAAACAUAUAAAUAAGAAAAAUAAGUCUUAUUUAUUUUAAAACAAUUACGUCAAUAUUACUUGAAAACUUAAUUCCGAGUUAAUUUUCGUCACAAAAUCGAUUCUUUUAUGUAAAUCGCAAAGAUCGACUCUCAUUUCGGCUGAAAGUUUAUACUAAAAUUAAUUGCAAGGAGAGACGGUUGAAUUAUCAGGCAGGGGUCUUAUCUGGUUCCUGUGUCGUUACUUUGACAACUUAAUAAAAAAUAAUCGACUGCUCGUGUUAGUACAUCGUAACGAGGUAUGCGAUAGCUCUUUUAUCUGCAGACCACAGGAAGCCGGUAGCGGGUCCAACCGAUAAAAAUCCUUCGCGAAGCCCUGCGAGACGUGAGAACGUUGUCGGUUUAACUCGUUAAGCUACGCUCGGCGAGAUAUUUUUAUCUGUUAUCGGUUAUAAAACCUCUUUUGUCACGUAACACAAAAAGAUAUGAUAUCGGAGAGAUUACUCUCAUUAUACAGGAUUUAAAUCCUUGAAAGACUUCAAAAAAAAAAAGGCCAAACCUUUUCGAAAAAAGAAAUACACAAUAGAAGAACUAAUAAGUAUUAAAAUUAAUGAUUUGGAUUUCCUUGUUUCUCAAAAUUACAGUCGCCCUAAAUUCAUUGAGAAUCUCGAUUCUUUCGUUAUUUCCUUAAUUCAAAUCGACGCAAAUAUAAACUUCGUUAUCAACUUUCCGCGCUGCGCUACUCGAAUAAAGUCACCGGCCGUAUCGAAUAAUCGCGAAAGGUUACACCCCUCGCAGGGUCACACGAUACUGUCAACGAACGAGUCGAAGAUCCUGCAGACGGGAGGGAGAACGGGGGCUACCCUUCGUAGGGCUUCUUAUAAGAAUUCCUUCGCGCCGGAAUGCAUCGUCGUCAUCGUGUUACACUUGCACCGAGUUUCGCGCAACUGCAAAAGAAAGAGAGAGAGCCCGUCUCGUUUCUCUCCCUUCUCCGUCGAACCGGUUUUUAUUCGUCCUUAAAUCGCACGAAUCGAUGCGUUCCGCCCUACGACUCCUCCGUUUAUUUCUUCCUUCUUUUUUUUUUUAAUCGAACGAUCCCAUGUCAUUUGAAACAAUAAAGCCGAUUCGACGGGGAGAUUCGCAGAUCCGAUUUGGCGGGGUCAGGAUAAUGAUCCCGGAUUGAGCCACGCUUCGACGCCCACGGCGUUACUCCUGCAAGGACGACGGAAGGGAUCCCCUUCUCGCCCUCGCGUAAGGCAAAUACGCGCGGGAUUAAGGUGCAUUAACGUAAUCGACGAUCGCGUCGUAUGUUUCAAUCGCGUCGCGACUUAAUCGUCGUGCACGACCGACAGUCACGAAUCACUCGAACGAUAUCCACGCUUCAAACUCCUGAAAUCAAUUCCAGAGGAUUAUUAGUCGGGACAAUUUUCAUUAUACAGUUUUGAACACUUUCGAAUAUUUCGGAACAAGAUUUCGGCAUGAUUCUCUCUUUUUCAGAACUUCGGAAAUUUUCACUUUACUUUGAGACUGAUAAAUAAUAUGAUUAUAAAAAAAUAACUAGAAGAUCGUUUUAUUUCAGAAAAAAAUUGUAUUCAUAAAUAAUUCACAUUAGUAGACUCUAAUUUCGUCUUUGGGAAAGUUUUUUUUACCUUUUACUUUUAGUUUUUUUUACUUUUCUAUUUGAAUAAGCUAAAAUUUAUAUAUAAUACAAGAACAUUUAAAUUUCUCGGUCAUAUCUUCACUUAAACUGUGACAUCCAAGGACCUUUCAGGGAAAGUACAUAGAGGAAUGGAUUGUUUCAUUCUUUUACAAAUGUUUUCUUUCUUCUGAAUCUUUGAUGUAUCUCUUUGUAUGUCUACUUUUGGAAACUAUCAAAACUAAUCUUGAAAUAAUUUUUCAAAUUAUAAGUUACGGCGGGUUCAUUCUAAAGAUACAGAAAUAUUAUGUCAAAAGAUAUUGGGAUUUUAUUUGUUGUAUUCGUAAAUAGCUCAUUUCACGCUUUGAGAAAACACUUGGCAGAAGGAGCAACGGGCUCAACAAUGACUCUGCUUUUUCAAAUUUAAGGAGAUCCUUUUACCGUACCUUUUUCCAACUUUCCAUUUUUUCGGUCAUACUUCCAGUAGCAACCAAGGACACUUAAAGAAAUGAAUACGAGAAGAUGAUUAACGGAAAACCUAAAAUCUUUUCACUCUCUUACAUAAUGCUUUCCUGCGGGACAUUCCUUUCCACUUAUCUAUUUCCGGAAAAAGAAUGUAUAAAGGCGUGCCCUUUUCACGUCAAGGUAAGUUACUUUCAACGAUACAAGGACGAACGAAAUGGAUACUCGAAAAUGUUUCGUCAUGCUUUAAUGGGUCAUCGGCUGACUGACCGACUCAGAGAAACGUUUCAUUCCUUGUAGCGAAAAUUCGAUGAAGCUAUGAUGUGAAGAAUUUCUCGGAAAUGAAUUUACAUGAAUUAAACGCUACACCACGGGCGAGUUUUCCCUAAAAAAAUAUUCAUUUUUGCACGUAAAAACAAAAUUAAUAUUAAAUUAAAAAGAAAAGAGGAAUAGAUCAAAUCGUGCUGGUCUUAGAAAUCUUCUUGAUAUUAUUUGUAUUAAUUAUAAUACAUAAUAAGAAUCCCUAGAAUAACGAAGCUAUUAGAAUUAUGGCGAUUACUCCGAAUCGCUUCUAUGAAAAUCCGACGGGUGAAUUAACAUCUACUGGUGUGACCGAAGAGAAUGUGAAACUACACGUGUCAUUCGGCAAUCUUAAUAUAUUCUAAAUUAGAUUAUACACAGAGUAUUUCGGUGCAAGCGAAGGGAGACAGGUCGAAACAGAGCGGAGACUGCGACGCAAAUGAUAUCUUUAAUAUAUAAACUCUUUACAAAUAUGUACAAUGUAACAAAAAGUUUCCUCUUUGCGAUAUUCAACUUAAACGUGAAAUGCAAGCAGACGCAACAUUCGAUUCGACAGUGAUUCAUCGUACUCGUUAGCCGAACGCGCGGGAAUCAUCGUGAUUCAUAUAUUUCGUCACUGGCGAGCCGUUCGCACAUUCCUCAUUCGAUGAUAUAAUAUAAAUCAUCGCGGCUAUUGUUGUCUCCGCGACAUUAUCACGCGAAGUUCACGAUGAUCGUUAUCGCACGAGCAAAAGCGGAUCUCGCAUACUCGCAGUGUAGAUACGGUUGAAGAUACGAUACCUUUAAGGGUCGAUCUACAAUAGGUGUAGGAAGCCUUAAGCCAUGAGAAAUCGAUUAGUCGAUUAUUCUACUCGUGUUCGACUGUGAUUAAUUCAUUUCUUACUUAAGUCUUACAUCCAUUGACAGACAGACUAUUAGAGAUUCUCAAAAGUAAGAUUGGGAGUCGUUUAGACAAUUUUUAAUUAGUUUGCCAUGUUUAGGACGCGGUGUCCAAUCUUUAUAUUUGAGGAUCUUUACUACUACGUACGAUACCGUUGACUUUUUCUUUUUACAAAAUACUAUUUAUAUAUUUCUUCGACGCAGAAUCAUUGCAGAUCAAAACUUCAAUAACGUCAAUCAAAUCAAG
Molecule: long non-coding RNA, 8629 nt
Organism: Monomorium pharaonis (pharaoh ant)
Lineage: Eukaryota; Metazoa; Arthropoda; Insecta; Hymenoptera; Formicidae
Exons: 2
Source: RefSeq, a predicted model, not a curated record